This 207-nucleotide ribosomal RNA is filed under the name uncultured bacterium. RNAcentral describes it as "partial 16S ribosomal RNA". It matches the Rfam family "Bacterial small subunit ribosomal RNA", at positions 568 to 774 of the family's 1533-position model. The record is from RNAcentral.
GGUGUAGGCGGCCUUUCAAGUCGGGUGUGAAAUCUCCCAGCUUAACUGGGAGGGGACAUUCGAUACUGUUGGGCUAGAGGACAGCAGAGGGAGGCGGAACUCCCGGUGUAGUGGUGGAAUGCGUAGAUAUCGGGAGGAACACCAGUGGCGAAGGCGGCCUCCUGGGCUGCCCCUGACGCUGAGAUCCGACGGCGUGGGGAGCAAACA